RNAcentral lists this RNase P RNA (369 nucleotides) under Candidatus Omnitrophota bacterium. Its description in RNAcentral is "RNase P RNA component class A". It matches the Rfam family "Bacterial RNase P class A". From Rfam's summary of the family: Ribonuclease P (RNase P) is a ubiquitous endoribonuclease, found in archaea, bacteria and eukarya as well as chloroplasts and mitochondria. The record is from RNAcentral. Lineage: Bacteria; Pseudomonadati; Candidatus Omnitrophota.
AAAACAGGCUGAGAUGGUUGCCCCGGUGUUCAAUUUUGAAAAACAAAAUUGAAGUAACCUCGGGGAGGAAAGUCCGAGCUCCACAGGAUAAUGUACUCAGAUAAUACUGAGCCUUGCUCACGCAAGAGGAUUAGAGCUACAGUGACGAUGCCUUUGAUCAUUCAAAGGAGUGAAACGAGCAAUCUCUACAUGGAGCAAUGCUAAAUAGGCAGAAAUUUCGCAUCGACUUUGUCGAUGCUUAAACGAAUUGAUCCGGUUCGUCGAUCUGCGGGUUGGCUGCAAGAGUUUAAGGAGUAAUCCUUAAAGUAAGUUGAAUAACCAUCCAUCAGUAAUGAUGAACAAAACUCGGCUUAUGAACCUGUUUUUUUG